This 779-nucleotide unclassified non-coding RNA is filed under the name Leishmania donovani. RNAcentral describes it as "gene:unknown". Lineage: Eukaryota; Euglenozoa; Kinetoplastea; Trypanosomatida; Trypanosomatidae. The record is from RNAcentral.
GCGGGUGACUUGCCGUUGCGUCUCCCCCUUUCGUGGAGCGCUGAGCCGAUCCCCCUUCGGCCUCCCUCCUCCCUCCUCCCUCCUCCCGUGGGUCCUGUCUGUUGUACAUCGUCGGACCGUCUCUUCGUGUUUCCUCUCCGCCCCUUCUGCAAAUCUGCGCUCGCGUGUGCCGCCUCUCGGACGUGAGCCUUACUGUGUAUUCUCACGGUGCGCCUCCGUGUGUGUGUGUGCGCCACGCACCGCUUCUUCCAUGUGUGUCCUUGCUUGCUCUCUUCUGCCCCCCCCCCUCUGCCUCACACAUUCCGUGCGUGUGUGCAUCACCGUUGGGUGGCGACAUCGGUGCCCGUCCCUGCCACCCUCUCCUCCCUCAUUCGCAUCUUGCCACAUCGUGGGCGGUGCGUGCAUGCAUGGAUGUAUAUACACGCAUAGAGGGGUGGGGACGCGUGCAUGUGUGCGCGUACACACGCAUGUGUGUCGGUGCACCACUAUAUAUAUGUGUGUGCGUGUACGCCGACAGACAGGUGUGUGGGUGCGCAUGUACAUGUAGACAUGCGUAUCGAUGUAUAUAGCCGACCGCGUGCCGUGUGUAGGCGUGUGUGCGUGUAUAUCAGUGUGUGCCGGCACGUGUGUCGCGCCACGCUCUCUUGCCCGCCUCCCCUGUGCCUGUCACUCGCUCUGGGCGCGCUGGCGGCGGGCGCCGGGUGGUGGCCGCGCGGAAGGUGGGCGGCGGCCCUUCCCUAUUUCUGUCUUUCGCUAUUUCUCUGUGUCCUACUCGCGUG